RNAcentral lists this transfer RNA (72 nucleotides) under Cavia porcellus (domestic guinea pig). It matches the Rfam family "tRNA". Rfam says of the family: Transfer RNA (tRNA) molecules are approximately 80 nucleotides in length. Their secondary structure includes four short double-helical elements and three loops (D, anti-codon, and T loops). The record is from Rfam by way of RNAcentral. Lineage: Eukaryota; Metazoa; Chordata; Mammalia; Rodentia; Caviidae.
UGCGAUAUAGCUUAGCAGCAUAGCAUCUGCCUGGCAAGCAUAAGGUCCUGAGUUCAAUUCCUGGUACUGUAA